GCCUACGGGGCGCAGCAGUAGGGAAUCUUCCACAAUGGGCGAAAGCCUGAUGGAGCAACGCCGCGUGGGUGAAGAAGGUCUUCAGAUCGUAAAACCCUGUUGUUAGAGGAGAAAGUGCGUGAGAGUAACUGUUCACGUUUCGACGGUAUCUAACCAGAAAGCCACGGCUAACUACGUGCCAGCAGCCGCGGUAAUACGUAGGUGGCAAGCGUUAUCCGGAUUUAUUGGGCGUAAAGGGAACGCAGGCGGUCUUUUAAGUCUGAUGUGAAAGCCUUCGGCUUAACCGGAGUAGUGCAUUGGAAACU
Molecule: ribosomal RNA, 305 nt
Filed under: uncultured bacterium
Lineage: Bacteria
Description: bacterial SSU rRNA
Rfam family: Bacterial small subunit ribosomal RNA
Source: RNAcentral